Danio aesculapii is the source of this 824-nucleotide long non-coding RNA. RefSeq lists it as uncharacterized. The transcript has 2 exons. Lineage: Eukaryota; Metazoa; Chordata; Actinopteri; Cypriniformes; Danionidae. The record is from RefSeq and is a predicted model, not a curated record.
UUCCGCAUAGCGCGUUCUACACUGAAAUCUUAUAGCGGCGAAACCUAAACGCAUUCAAAGGGAGGCAAAGGAGGGAGAUUUACACUUAAAUUGAUGAGGGUCCCGUGCCAGUGGAUGCCCAGCAUCUGGAAGAUCAUUUUUGUUCAGUUCCACAACCCAGGGCAGAUGAUUAAUGCACCGUAUCAGGCUGACAGUCUCCAUGAGGAGGUGGAGUGACUGAAAGGAGACUGCUUUGAUGCUGCUUUUGAUAUUAUACGGCUCUAAAGGUUCACAACUUGCAUCCUACAUCCAGAGUAACGUGUCCAGAGUAAGGGCAACUGUAAGGGGGAUACCGUCUAUGGCAUGGCUGAGGGUCCACUUUGAGCAUCUCAUCCGCAGCAUGAAGCAACACAGGAUGGACAGUCAUCAUCUCUUUCUAUUACAGCGAGCACCAACCAGAUUUAUACAAAGGCUUGCCUUCUGCCCAUUAGUAAAAAUUAAAGAGUACACACACUGUACAUAAUUUAUAUGUUUUUUCCUGCACUGCAGGAAUAUAAAGUUGUCAAUAUAAUAAACAUUAAUUUUCAACAUAAUCAUGUAAACAUAUAUUACAGAACAAUUUGAGUGAACAAUUGCUCUGCACUAAUGUAAAUAUAAAUAACUUUAAAUACUUGCACUGCAGGUGUAAAUAAGCAGGGUAUUAUGUGCAUAGAGAAAUAUGCAAUGCUUACCUCCAUCAAACGUACUGCCUCUGUCUUUUGACAAAAAUCAGGCGGGCAACUACCGUCAGAACCCAAGUGAUGCUCAAGGACUGGUUGUAUUUAAUUACAUUUAAUGUUAGCCUU